UCCCCCCAAAUCUCCUCCACCAGAACGUCGACUCUUACGACCCAUACAUGGUUUAUAGCACAAAAUAAAAUAGCUUAGUAGGAACAGACAUUUUGUUCAAUUUUUUUUUACCGAAACUGUAAUAAUAAUCAAACUACUCAAUACAUACAACUCAUAAUCUCAGUUCAUAUAAACCACUGAGUUCCACAUAUAUCUGGAGGGAGCGAGAACUCGAGUCCAAAAUGUGAAGCCAGCUAAGCCAGCUUAUUUCAUUGAGCCAGCUUCCUAUUAACCGCGCAUACAAAAUCAAUAGAAAGGCACUGGAACUGACCUCCUAUACCUCUUCAAUUUCCGCCAUCUUGGCAAGGAGUGUGCCGGCCGAAAUUUCGUAUUUUGACUUCGAUUUAAAGACUAAUAUUAUGAUUUUAUGGACUGACAACUUAAUUAGCGAUACAGUUCUUUAGACUAAACUGGAUUUAAUUGAGGAAAAAUGGUAUAACAAUCUGUUUUCAACAAAACUGUUUAC
This is a non-coding RNA of Paramuricea clavata, 505 nucleotides long. NCBI's taxonomy places the organism in Eukaryota, Metazoa, Cnidaria, Anthozoa, Malacalcyonacea, Plexauridae. The record is from the annotation of a GenBank genome assembly.